RNAcentral lists this ribosomal RNA (465 nucleotides) under Vreelandella stevensii. Its description in RNAcentral is "partial 16S ribosomal RNA". It matches the Rfam family "Bacterial small subunit ribosomal RNA", at positions 338 to 795 of the family's 1533-position model. The record is from RNAcentral. Lineage: Bacteria; Pseudomonadati; Pseudomonadota; Gammaproteobacteria; Oceanospirillales; Halomonadaceae.
CCUACGGGUGGCAGCAGUGGGGAAUAUUGGACAAUGGGGGGAACCCUGAUCCAGCCAUGCCGCGUGUGUGAAGAAGGCCCUCGGGUUGUAAAGCACUUUCAGUGAGGAAGAACGCCUGGUGGUUAAUACCCAUCAGGAAAGACAUCACUCACAGAAGAAGCACCGGCUAACUCCGUGCCAGCAGCCGCGGUAAUACGGAGGGUGCGAGCGUUAAUCGGAAUUACUGGGCGUAAAGCGCGCGUAGGUGGCUUGAUAAGCCGGUUGUGAAAGCCCCGGGCUCAACCUGGGAACGGCAUCCGGAACUGUCAAGCUAGAGUGCAGGAGAGGAAGGUAGAAUUCCCGGUGUAGCGGUGAAAUGCGUAGAGAGCGGGAGGAAUACCAGUGGCGAAGGCGGCCUUCUGGACUGACACUGACACUGAGGUGCGAAAGCGUGGGUAGCAAACAGGAUUAGAUACCCUGGUAGUC